AGUUGCUGCAUGUUGGUGCGAAUACUGUGCGUUGCUCACGUUUGACACGCAGGACACAAAGAAUGAAAUCACUUGCAGAUCAGUUUGCUGAAAAACACACAGCCAUCUACCAAACGAGGCUAACGGGUCUACUUAAGUGUUCUUUUGUGUGGCAGGACAAGCCUCAAGCUCAUCCAAUUGAGGUUCUUCACUCAAAAGACAUGAUGCACUGGUUGUAAUUGUGCAUGAGAAGUGCAGUUGCAAUGAGCUAACGAAGAAAGAAGACGUCUGCCGGCAAUAUCAGGAAAUGGAAGUUCGCUCAGAGCCGACAGGCUGGGAGAGCGGGUUUUCAUCCACUCCCUCAUCUCAGGAAUCUAAAUAGGUUGAAGUGUGCAAACUACGUUUACAAGGAACUAAAAUCAGACCUCCACGGAAGGAUGAUGUACAGUUGGCCAGAGAGAUCGUACAUCUGUGAAUUAGGCACUCGGACACUGCCUUCCUUGUGUGUGAAACUCUUCUUUGUUUUUCCUGCAUGUUAGUUUUAUACUGACACCUGGUGGCCAAGUCAAGCCACAAUGAAUUAAUUAUGACACACAAUCUAUUUUAAUUCUUUUCAUGUUGUUAAAUGAUCAUUAUGUUUGUAUAAAGUAAAAAUCAACGGUGCAUAUAAAUAGACGAACAUACACACACACACACACACACACACACACACACACGUCUUGUAAAGCUUAUGUCAUUUCCAGCAGCACUUUGACUUCGGGAGGGUUUUGAUGAACACACACUGGCUGCUUGGAUUACGACAUCGUAAGUGUGUGUGCAUGUGUGUGUGUGUGUGUGUAUGUGUGUGUGUGUGUGUGUAAGUGCGUAAAGGGGAAAACAUGCUGACAUGAAGCCAGGCCACAGAACACAGUGGAUCUGAGAGUGUGGUUUCAUCAACCAUGAUAGCGUGAGGAGAAGGCAAAACAAAAACACAUUCCAGAUGUACGUUUCAUACAAUACGUAUUAUGCUCUUAUCUACAGUGGAGGUAUAUUCCCAUAUUUUUGUGCGACAGUUUUAUUUUCAUCUACAACAAGUAUGUUCUAAGAUUGAAAUAAUAAAGCGACAGCAGACUGCACACGAAUAGAUGAUCAUUCUAGCUUUUAAUGAGGUAAUGGCAAAUUUACUAGCCAAAGUGACAGCACAGUGACCUAAUGGGACGCAUAUCCGCCUUCACAUUUCAAGAGGUUCUGGGUUGAAUCUCAGCUCAAGCAACUCCUGCAUAGAGUUUGCAUGUUCCCCUGUUCUUGUUUGGGUUAUUGGGUGUGAAUUUGAGUGUGAAUGCAUAUUUGACUAUAUGUGCCCUCUCAUUGGCUGGCAACCAGACCUUCUCGUCCAAAGCCAGCUGGGGUAGGCUCCAAAUCACCCGUGACCCGAAUGAGGAAAAGGGCGAUUAACCAUGAAUGGAUGUUUAUGUACUGGAUAUUUAAAUAUCUGUCAUAUUAAAAGAGCCAAGCUACUGAAGAAUUAUGGAUAUGCUGCUUGUGCAAUACAAAAUGGAUUUAAUCAUCAACGUUUUUUAUCAUAAUAACUUAUUUUAUUUUAUUAAGACUUAUCAGCUUAUCCUUCACUUGAUCCCAAAAAAUGGAAGAUGAGACUUUAUUUUUGAGACAGUAUGGGUGGGGUAGAGUUUCAAUCUGGCAAUGUGGGCUGAGGCCAUGUGUGCAGGCAUGCCUUUUAAGAAUAUUGAAAACACAUGUCUUGAGCCUUGGAAUAAAAAAAUAAAAAUAAAAUAAAAACUUACGGGCACUGCGUGACUGAUACACAGAUGCAGGCAACUGCACUUCCUACCUACAGGUACAGAAGUGUCACUGAUGGUGUCGCAGUACAUUCACUUGACUUCAGUGCAAGCAGUGCGGGUUCAGUUCAUACUCGGCGACAGUGUGAAUGGUUGUCAGUCUCUACAUCAUAGGUGUCGGGCCAAAACCACAAACCGGUAAGUUACAUUUUGGUAACGUGUGUAUCUCU
Long non-coding RNA from Hippocampus zosterae (dwarf seahorse), 1984 nucleotides. RefSeq lists it as uncharacterized. The transcript has 3 exons. The record is from RefSeq and is a predicted model, not a curated record. NCBI's taxonomy places the organism in Eukaryota, Metazoa, Chordata, Actinopteri, Syngnathiformes, Syngnathidae.